GUCGAACGCACUCUCGUUUAGAUUGAAGGAGCUUGCUCCUGAUUGAUAAACAUUUGAGUGAGUGGCGGACGGGUGAGUAACACGUGGGUAACCUGCCCUAAAGUGGGGGAUAACAUUUGGAAACAGAUGCUAAUACCGCAUAAAACCUAACACCGCAUGGUGUAGGGUUGAAAGAUGGUUUCGGCUAUCACUUUAGGAUGGACCCGCGGUGCAUUAGUUAGUUGGUGAGGUAAAGGCUCACCAAGACCGUGAUGCAUAGCCGACCUGAGAGGGUAAUCGGCCACACUGGGACUGAGACACGGCCCAGACUCCUACGGGAGGCAGCAGUAGGGAAUCUUCCACAAUGGACGAAAGUCUGAUGGAGCAACGCCGCGUGAGUGAAGAAGGUUUUCGGAUCGUAAAACUCUGUUGUUGGAGAAGAAUGUAUCUGAUAGUAACUGAUCAGGUAGUGACGGUAUCCAACCAGAAAGCCACGGCUAACUACGUGCCAGCAGCCGCGGUAAUACGUAGGUGGCAAGCGUUGUCCGGAUUUAUUGGGCGUAAAGCGAGCGCAGGCGGUUUCUUAAGUCUGAUGUGAAAGCCUUCGGCUCAACCGAAGAAGUGCAUCGGAAACUGGGAAACUUGAGUGCAGAAGAGGACAGUGGAACUCCAUGUGUAGCGGUGAAAUGCGUAGAUAUAUGGAAGAACACCAGUGGCGAAGGCGGCUGUCUGGU
This 713-nucleotide ribosomal RNA is filed under the name uncultured Bacilli bacterium. Its description in RNAcentral is "bacterial SSU rRNA". It matches the Rfam family "Bacterial small subunit ribosomal RNA", at positions 61 to 733 of the family's 1533-position model. Lineage: Bacteria; Bacillati; Bacillota; Bacilli. The record is from RNAcentral.